Molecule: transfer RNA, 56 nt
Filed under: Pseudodendrothrips mori
Lineage: Eukaryota; Metazoa; Arthropoda; Insecta; Thysanoptera; Thripidae
Description: tRNA-Val
Source: RNAcentral
AAAUUAGAUUAUAUUACUUACACUAAUAAACAGUUUAUUAAAUUAAACCUAAUUUA